AGCAGCCGCGGUAAUUCCAGCUCCAAUAGCGUAUAUUAAAGUUGUUGCAGUUAAAAAGCUCGUAGUUGAAUUUCGGGAUCAGUGGGUCGGUCGUGCCACUGGUAUGUACUGGCCCUACUGGUUCCUCCUUCUUGAAGAACUGUAAUGCCAUUAAUUUGGUGUUGCAGGGAAACAGGACUGUUACUUUGAAAAAAUUAGAGUGUUUAAAGCAGGCAAUCGCUUGAAUACAUUAGCAUGGAAUAAUGAAAUAGGACGUUCGAUCCUAUUUUGUUGGUUUCUAGGAUUGACGUAAUGAUUAAUAGGGAUAGUUGGGGGCAUUAGUAUUCAAUUGUCAGAGGUGAAAUUCUUGGAUUUAUUGAAGACUAACUACUGCGAAAGCAUUUGCCAAGGAUGUUUUCAUUAAUCAAGAACGAAAGUUAGGGGAUCGAAGACGAUCAGAUACCGUCGUAGUCUUAACCAUAAACUAUGCCGACUAGGGAUCUGAUGAUGUUAAUUUUUUAAUGACUCAUUCGGCG
RNAcentral lists this ribosomal RNA (515 nucleotides) under uncultured Glomus. RNAcentral describes it as "SSU rRNA". It matches the Rfam family "Eukaryotic small subunit ribosomal RNA", at positions 569 to 1085 of the family's 1831-position model. The record is from RNAcentral. Lineage: Eukaryota; Fungi; Glomeromycota; Glomeromycetes; Glomerales; Glomeraceae.